RNAcentral lists this ribosomal RNA (582 nucleotides) under uncultured bacterium. RNAcentral describes it as "partial 16S ribosomal RNA". It matches the Rfam family "Bacterial small subunit ribosomal RNA", at positions 357 to 1375 of the family's 1533-position model. The record is from RNAcentral.
UGGGAAUUUGGACAAUGGGCGAAAGCCUGAUCCAGCAAUGCCGCGUGUGUGAAGAAGGCCUUCGGGUUGUAAAGCACUUUUGUCCGGAAAGAAAUCCUUGGCUCUAAUACAGUCGGGGGAUGACGGUACCGGAAGAAUAAGCACCGGCUAACUACGUGCCAGCAGCCGCGGUAAUACGUAGGGUGCAAGCGUUAAUCGGAAUUACUGGGCGUAAAGCGUGCGCAGGCGGUUUGCUAAGACCGAUGUGAAAUCCCCGGGCUCAACCUGGGAACUGCAUUGGUGACUGGCAGGCUAGAGUAUGGCAGAGGGGGGUAGAAUUCCACGUGUAGCAGUGAAAUGCGUAGAGAUGUGGAGGAAUACCGAUGGCGAAGGCAGCCCCCUGGGCAAUACUGACGCUCAUGCACGAAAGCGUGGGGAGCAAACAGGAUUAGAUACCCUGGUAGUCCACGCCCUAAACGAUGUCAACUAGUUGUUGGGGAUUCAUUUCCUUAGUAACGUAGCUAACGCGUGAAGUUGACCGCCUGGGGAGUACGGUCGCAAGAUUAAAACUCAAAGGAAUUGACGGGGUCAUAGCUGUUUCCU